UGGUCACGAUGGGAUCCCUGUGUUGCGCGCGGUUUCCAAUUAUCCAGCCCCCAUCCGUCUGUCCAGCGCUGUCGGAGAGGUUCUGGGUGUCUAUACCACAGAACAUUCGAAGGCACUACGAAUCAAUACCGAAGAAUAAACGAGCGGCGGCGAGGGCAAUCUGUCAUUCGGUUUCCUAUCGGAAGCCUUGGUGUAACAAGUGGCACCAGCGUCAGCAUUUCCGCUACAAGCAUUGCUGAGAAAUGAUGGGCUGAAGCUGCGGGCUGUUGUGCAGUCAACAAAACAGUCAAAACACAUGUGCGUGUCGUCAGCAAAAGAGUUACAUCUCUCUCUUAUGUACCCAUACUAGUAAGAAAGACAAUUCCUGCCAUUUUUGUAUGCUGAAUUUUCAUUGAAGUUUUCUGAUAAUGAAGUUUUCUGAUAAUCUUAUAUAACUUUGAACCAUGACAGCCGGCGGGUGCUUUUAUUUUUUUUCCUUUGUUCUAUUUUACUAAAGUUAUGAGCGUAAAUUUAAUUGAGUACUAAUUUUACUUACUUUAAUGGGUACCUCUUAGCAUAUGAAGUUUUAUUCAUUUUGAGGGUUUACAUGGAUAUAUACUCGUCAAGCAACUUAUUAUAAGUACUUUAAAAAUUUCAAUUAAAACUCACAGAAGAGUCUAAAGAAAUUACAUCAUGAAUUUGCAUUUUUUCAAAUAGGUAUUAUAUGAUAUCUAUGGCUUCGCAGCCCCUCCACUUACGUUCUUGUUAUGAUUAACAGAUAGAUAAAACGUAAAACGACGAACCCGCGCGUUCCUAAGUCGAGAUUAGGAAACUAAUUGGCUGACUCACUCGUCUUGCUCAUUUAAUUUUUUAACCUGCCUGACGACAUAUAAAUUAAUAAACACUAAGACUAGAUAUUUAUAUGGUAUGUCACCACACACAGAAGUCGGAUCGCCAUCUUGGAUUUCUCAGACAAUCUCGCACUUUCCGGAGAUGGUGAUCGGAAAAUUCCGACUGUGAGGUCGGACCGGUAUGACCGGUGGGAGUCCGCGGACUCGACCACAAUCUACGUCCGUGGGAAAUUGCUUCCCAUAAAUUUCAAACUUCUAAACGGAAUAACUGAGCAGCUGAGAAGCGUGCGUUUGAGAGCUUCGCGCUUCUCUCGGAGAGCGUUCAAUGGAUUCUACUGACAGGCCUGGGGAAAGGGAACAAGCAAACAGUUCAUAAGAAGCCUCAGAAAAGAACACCUUAGUAGAAUAAUAUUUUAUUGUGCCCUCGCUUAAGAAAUGCUGUAUCCUUCCGUGAUUUUUUUUUUCGCUUAGUACGCAGCCUACAGAUUUGUCGUUUUGAAAUCUUUAUAUUUUCGGGGAGCUCAUGACUUGCACAAGCCAUGUUUUUUUCUGUGGGCCUCUCGCCCCGCCAUUUUUGCGUGUUGUUAUUGUAUGUAGUCCAAUUGUAAUAAUGGCAAACAAAUAAACUGAAUCCUGUGCAAUAAACAA
Long non-coding RNA from Nematostella vectensis (starlet sea anemone), 1478 nucleotides. RefSeq lists it as uncharacterized. The transcript is spliced from 2 exons. Lineage: Eukaryota; Metazoa; Cnidaria; Anthozoa; Actiniaria; Edwardsiidae. The record is from RefSeq and is a predicted model, not a curated record.